This 450-nucleotide non-coding RNA is filed under the name Pongo abelii (Sumatran orangutan). The record is from RNAcentral. Lineage: Eukaryota; Metazoa; Chordata; Mammalia; Primates; Hominidae.
GGCCCAAGUUACUCACAUUUCUGCCCAGCUGACUACAAAUUCUGUUUUCCAUGACCCCCUCUCAGGUUUGAUAGUUUGCCAGAACAACUCACAAAGUGAAGGAAAAUGGUGUACUUACUAUUACUGGCUUAUUAUAAAGGCUACAACUCAGAAACAGCCAAACAGAGGAGUUGCACAGAGCAAGGUGACCAGUCCGCAUCCUGAUACUAUCUCGGAGUCCCCCAGCCAAGAAUCAUCUCAUCAGCAUAAACUCAGGCAAUGCUGAAAGGCAUUGAGAAUGGUACUGGUCAUGUAACAUCCUCAGGAAAAUGGAGAAAGGAGUCACAUCACCUUUUGUGUUUGGAGACUGCUAUAUAAGCCAGAAUACUAGUCACACAGUGCAGGUGGGAGUGGCAGGGAAGUAACCUCCUUUUUUUUUUUAGACUGAUACAUUUAUGGUAUACACCUGAA